ACUCCUACGGGAGGCAACAGUGGGGAAUAUUGGACAAUGGGCGCAAGCCUGAUCCAGCCAUGCCGCGUGAGUGAUGAAGGCCCUAGGGUUGUAAAGCUCUUUCACCGGUGAAGAUAAUGACGGUAACCGGAGAAGAAGCCCCGGCUAACUUCGUGCCAGCAGCCGCGGUAAUACGAAGGGGGCUAGCGUUGUUCGGAUUUACUGGGCGUAAAGCGCACGUAGGCGGACUAUUAAGUCAGGGGUGAAAUCCCGGGGCUCAACCCCGGAACUGCCUUUGAUACUGGUAGUCUUGAGUUCGAGAGAGGUGAGUGGAAUUCCGAGUGUAGAGGUGAAAUUCGUAGAUAUUCGGAGGAACACCAGUGGCGAAGGCGGCUCACUGGCUCGAUACUGACGCUGAGGUGCGAAAGCGUGGGGAGCAAACAGGAUUAGAUACCCUAGUAGUCC
RNAcentral lists this ribosomal RNA (444 nucleotides) under uncultured organism. RNAcentral describes it as "partial 16S ribosomal RNA". It matches the Rfam family "Bacterial small subunit ribosomal RNA", at positions 335 to 796 of the family's 1533-position model. The record is from RNAcentral.